RNAcentral lists this long non-coding RNA (234 nucleotides) under Monodelphis domestica (gray short-tailed opossum). Its description in RNAcentral is "lncRNA (ENSMODG00000042044.1)". The record is from RNAcentral. Lineage: Eukaryota; Metazoa; Chordata; Mammalia; Didelphimorphia; Didelphidae.
CUGGAGGCUCUUGAGAGAGGCCCUUUGAAACAGUCUCUGGCUGGAAGACUCUUUGAGGAGGACUCUGGCUGGAACUCUCUCUGAGGAGACUGUCACUAGAAUCCUUGCAUAGACAGACCUUGUGUCAAUUCUCCACUCCUGUGGCCAUUCAAACAUUCACCUUCAGGAACAGGAACUGGAGGCAAAUUCAGCUGUGGCCUGAUUCUAAUCAGCUACGCUUCAUAAAGACUAAUG